RNAcentral lists this ribosomal RNA (425 nucleotides) under uncultured bacterium. RNAcentral describes it as "partial 16S ribosomal RNA". It matches the Rfam family "Bacterial small subunit ribosomal RNA", at positions 354 to 796 of the family's 1533-position model. The record is from RNAcentral.
GUGGGGAAUCUUGCGCAAUGGGCGAAAGCCUGACGCAGCCAUGCCGCGUGAAUGAUGAAGGUCUUAGGAUUGUAAAAUUCUUUCACCGGGGACGAUAAUGACGGUACCCGGAGAAGAAGCCCCGGCUAACUUCGUGCCAGCAGCCGCGGUAAUACGAAGGGGGCUAGCGUUGCUCGGAAUUACUGGGCGUAAAGGGCGCGUAGGCGGACAGCUUAGUCAGAGGUGAAAGCCCAGGGCUCAACCUUGGAAUUGCAUUUGAGACUGGGUGGCUUGAGUUUGGUAGAGGUGAGUGGAACUCCGAGUGUAGAGGUGAAAUUCGUAGAUAUUCGGAAGAACACCAGUGGCGAAGGCGACUCACUGGCCCAAUACUGACGCUGAGGCGCGAAAGCGUGGGGAGCAAACAGGAUUAGAAACCCGUGUAGUCC